This 84-nucleotide transfer RNA is filed under the name archaeon. Its description in RNAcentral is "tRNA-Leu". It matches the Rfam family "tRNA". From Rfam's summary of the family: Transfer RNA (tRNA) molecules are approximately 80 nucleotides in length. Their secondary structure includes four short double-helical elements and three loops (D, anti-codon, and T loops). The record is from RNAcentral. RNAcentral also lists the same sequence under 1 other name.
GCACGGGUUGGAGAGUGGCCUAAUCCAUCGGCUUUAGGGGCCGACGCCUUAGUGGCUUCGCAGGUUCGAAUCCUGUCCCGUGCA